Molecule: ribosomal RNA, 272 nt
Filed under: uncultured prokaryote
Description: partial 16S ribosomal RNA
Rfam family: Bacterial small subunit ribosomal RNA
Source: RNAcentral
UACGUAGGGGCAAGCGUUAUCCGGAUUUACUGGGUGUAAAGGGAGCGCAGACGGAACUGCAAGUCUGAUGUGAAAGCCCGGGGCUCAACCGCGGGACUGCAUUGGAAACUGUAGAUCUGGAGUGCCGGAGGGGCAAGCGGAAUUCCUGGUGUAGCGGUGAAAUGCGUAGAUAUCAGGAGGAACACCGGCGGCGAAGGCGGCUUGCUGGACGGCAACUGACGUUGAGGCUCGAAAGCGUGGGGAGCAAACAGGAUUAGAUACCCCCGGGUAGU